UUUCUCGCCUUCCAAUUUCGACGACUCAUUCUUAUAUUCCCCUGGAGAAUUGGGCGGCGGAAAGGUGUGAGCAACAUCGUCCCAACUCUCAAUGGUGCUUUUCAUCAUUUUCGCGCAGG
Molecule: non-coding RNA, 119 nt
Organism: Caenorhabditis elegans
Lineage: Eukaryota; Metazoa; Nematoda; Chromadorea; Rhabditida; Rhabditidae
Source: Ensembl